GUCCCUGUAGCGCAAUCGAUAGCGCGUUGGACAUCUAAACCAGAAGUCAUGGGUUUCAAUCCCACCUGGGAUG
This is a non-coding RNA of Trichonephila clavata, 73 nucleotides long. NCBI's taxonomy places the organism in Eukaryota, Metazoa, Arthropoda, Arachnida, Araneae, Nephilidae. The record is from the annotation of a GenBank genome assembly.